CUCGGGGUGGGUCAUCCCUCAGCCCGGAUUGUGAGAGGGCUCAGGCCAGGCCAAGGGACCCCACCGAUGCAAA
This 73-nucleotide microRNA precursor is filed under the name Myotis davidii. Its description in RNAcentral is "mir-9193 microRNA precursor family". It matches the Rfam family "mir-9193 microRNA precursor family". Lineage: Eukaryota; Metazoa; Chordata; Mammalia; Chiroptera; Vespertilionidae. The record is from Rfam by way of RNAcentral.